Molecule: ribosomal RNA, 514 nt
Filed under: uncultured bacterium
Lineage: Bacteria
Description: bacterial SSU rRNA
Rfam family: Bacterial small subunit ribosomal RNA
Source: RNAcentral
AGAGUUGAUCAUGGCUCAGGAUGAACGCUGGCGGCGUGCCUAAUACAUGCAAGUCGAACGAGGUAGCAAUACCGAGUGGCGAACGGGUGAGUAACACGUAGGUAACCUGCCCUUAAGCUUGGGAUACCCAGAGGAAACUUUGGCUAAUACCGGAUAACAACAGAGAAGGCAUCUUCUUUGCUUGAAAGGCCCCUUCAAGGGUCACUUAAGGAUGGACCUGCGGCGCAUUAGCUAGUUGGUGAGAUAACAGCCCACCAAGGCGAGGAUGCGUAGCCGAACUGAGAGGUUGAUCGGCCACAUUGGAACUGAGACACGGUCCAAACUCCUACGGGAGGCAGCAGUAAGGAGUUUUCGGCAAUGGGGGAAACCCUGACCGAGCAACGCCGCGUGAGCGAUGACGGCCCUAUUGGGUUGUAAAGCUCUGUUGUAAGCCAUGAAUGACAGCUUGAGGAAAUGCAAGUUGUUUGACGACAGCUUACCAGAAAACCACGGCUAACUACGUGCCAGCAGCAGC